Molecule: ribosomal RNA, 110 nt
Filed under: Danio rerio (zebrafish)
Lineage: Eukaryota; Metazoa; Chordata; Actinopteri; Cypriniformes; Danionidae
Source: RNAcentral
GCCGGCAGCUAGCUCAAUUCUCACAUGGUCGCCCACUGAAGCUAAGCAGGGCUGCGCCCGGUCAGUACCUGGAUGGGAGACCACAUGGGAAAGCUAGGUUGCUGCCGGAA